AUCCAGCUGACGAGUCCCGAGUAGGACAAAACGCGCGUCAAACUGGAU
Molecule: non-coding RNA, 48 nt
Organism: Schistosoma mansoni
Lineage: Eukaryota; Metazoa; Platyhelminthes; Trematoda; Strigeidida; Schistosomatidae
Source: Rfam